CAUUAGUUUAUGUGGUAACCCGCAAGGGCCUAUCCACAUUCGGGUCUCGCCGUAAAACGCGAGGCUGUCUGAAAACCCUUGAAUAUAAAACUUUGUUGCUUUGGCGGGGCCGCCUCUCGAGGCGUCGGCUUACGCUGACCGUGCCCGCCAGAGGCCCAAAACUCUACUGUCUUUGACGUCUGAGUACUAUAUAAUAGUUAAAACUUUCAACAACGGAUCUCUUGGUUCUGGCAUCGAUGAAGAACGCAGCGAAAUGCGAUAAGUAAUGUGAAUUGCAGAAUUCAGUGAAUCAUCGAAUCUUUGAACGCACAUUGCGCCCCCUGGUAUUCCGGGGGGCAUGCCUGUUCGAGCGUCAUUAUGACCAAUCCCGCAAGGGGUCUUGGGGUCCGCGGCUCGCUGCGGCCCUUAAAAUCAGUGGCGGCGCCGCCGGUGCUCUCAGCGUAGUAAUACUCCUCGCUCGGGAACCACGGUGGAUGCUCGCCAGCAACCCAAUUUAUAAACUAGGUUG
RNAcentral lists this ribosomal RNA (508 nucleotides) under uncultured fungus. RNAcentral describes it as "eukaryotic LSU rRNA". The stretch from base 202 to 355 matches the Rfam family "5.8S ribosomal RNA". The record is from RNAcentral. Lineage: Eukaryota; Fungi.